GCGGGGGUAGCCAAGUCCGGUCAAAGGCGCAAGGUUGAGGGCCUUGUCUCACAGGAGUCCGAGGGUUCAAAUCCCUUCCCCCGCA
Molecule: transfer RNA, 85 nt
Filed under: Methanobacteriota archaeon
Lineage: Archaea; Methanobacteriati; Methanobacteriota
Description: Euryarchaeota archaeon tRNA-Leu
Rfam family: tRNA
About the family: Transfer RNA (tRNA) molecules are approximately 80 nucleotides in length. Their secondary structure includes four short double-helical elements and three loops (D, anti-codon, and T loops).
Source: RNAcentral